GUGAAAUCGAAAGUAAAUCUCAAGGGACCGGCGUUCGGGCAGGAACAUUUCGGACGUUUUGUGAAGGCCAAGGCUUCUUCCUCUGUCAGUGGUUCUCUGAUCUCUAUCAACAUGUCUGCUAGUGUUGGAGCAGAAAUGGAUCCACAGAUCUGAUUGGUCCAUGUAGCUGCUAAAAGAUGGAUUUCCCUCAAGAGCUUGAGGUCGCUGUCAGUGGAAAUCAGACAGGCAGAGCAGCAUGUGCUGUGUCCAGCCAUGUGUCCCUGAAGAAUGACGAGCCUGUUCCUGAUGGACAUCAGGGGGUCAGCACAGGAAGAGUGCUGUCUUAUAUACCACAGUCACACAGACCAGUGUCUCCAGUGCCCAGCUGUGUGUCUAUGAAGAGUGACUGGUCCAUGGGAAACCCUCUCAAUUUCAGUAGUGGACCACCACAGUCUGAUCAAAG
Long non-coding RNA from Sardina pilchardus (European sardine), 442 nucleotides. RefSeq lists it as uncharacterized. NCBI's taxonomy places the organism in Eukaryota, Metazoa, Chordata, Actinopteri, Clupeiformes, Clupeidae. The record is from RefSeq and is a predicted model, not a curated record. The transcript is spliced from 4 exons.